This 305-nucleotide ribosomal RNA is filed under the name uncultured bacterium. Its description in RNAcentral is "bacterial SSU rRNA". It matches the Rfam family "Bacterial small subunit ribosomal RNA", at positions 338 to 640 of the family's 1533-position model. The record is from RNAcentral.
CCUACGGGAGGCAGCAGUGAGGAAUAUUGGUCAAUGGGCUUACGCCUGAACCAGCCAAGUCGCGUGAGGGAAGACUGCCCUAUGGGUUGUAAACCUCUUUUGUCAGGGAGCAACGCCGGCUACGUGUAGCCGGACUGAGAGUACCUGAAGAAAAAGCAUCGGCUAACUCCGUGCCAGCAGCCGCGGUAAUACGGAGGAUGCGAGCGUUAUCCGGAUUUAUUGGGUUUAAAGGGUGCGUAGGCGGGCUUUUAAGUCAGCGGUAAAAAUUCGGGGCUCAACCCCGUCCGGCCGUUGAAACUGGGGGC